CGUGAUUUCUGCGCUACAGGUUUGCGUUGGCCUUGCUCUCUCGCGCGAACACUUCCCGCCUCCUCACCUGCGGUGUUGGCCAAGACCAUAACUUGAUGGUGUUGUCGCGCCUGGGAUAAAGUGUACCUCCAGCGUGGGCAUACCGCACUCCCCCACAACCACCCCGCGGGUGGCCUUGACCCGCGGACAGACAGACACACACACACACACAUACAAACGCGUUGGGGCCUACCUCAUUCGCUUGCUCGCCUUCCUCUCCCUAUUCCCCCACACCGUCUUCGCAUAUCUUUUUCGUCUUUGCUGCCGUUGCUGCUUCACACACAGAGACGCUGCUGAGCGUUGCCGACUGUGAAGACAGAAUGAGUGUCUUUCUCCAGAUCAUCUCCGUGUGCGCCACACUGGCGGCGCUGUGCAUGGUGGCGUCGCCCGUGAUUACUGUCAAGAGCAUGCGUGCCGCCAAAUCGGUUGGCAGCAUGACAAUCACCUUCUUUUGCGCGCAGUUCCUAAACUGCAACGUGUGGAGCAUGUACGGCGUGCAAACGCUAGCCCUUCCGGUGAUUAUCUGCAACACGUUCGGCUCUGCCGUCGCCGCUUAUUGCAUCCUGACGUUCCUGACAGUCGCCCGCAUGGAGGAGAAGGCGGGUCAUGUGCUCAAGUCAACGAGCUAUGGCGCCUCGUUGAAGACAGCGACGCUCACCAUAUUUUUAAUCGCACUUCUCCUGCUGCUAUUUCUCUAUCUCAUGAACUUUUCGAGCAGUGACUUUGCCGCACAGCUGAACGGCAUCCUGGGUGGUUGCUGUAGUGUCUUCAUGCUGAGCUCGCCGCUAGGCAUGGCAAAGGCAAUCAUCCACGAAAGAAACGCCGAGCCGCUGCAGCCGGCGACUGUCAUGUUUGCAACGCUGAAUAGCGUGCUGUGGAUGCUGUACGGCCUGCUGAGCCUGGACAUGUACAUCACGAUUCCCAACGUGCUCUGCACCUUGGCGUGCAUAUUCCAGAUCUUCCUGCUCGUCCGGUACGGUCGCCACCCCGCAGAGCAUGUCGAGAUCACGGAGACGAUUGCGCCGGUCCCCCUCGACUAGAAGCGUUCACCUUUCACAUGCUGGCGCGCGCAGUACGCGGUCACAAGGCGGAAGAAUGGAGAGAAGAGGCGCAGGGGGCGGACGGGGUUUUGAAUCUGCCGUUUCCCAAUCUUACGGCGUGCUUCGUCGUCGCUGCUCGCACGCCCCCUCCCCUUGCCUUCGCGGAAUGCUGUGUGCCCGCUCUCUCUCUGCGAAAGAGUCACGACAGACCUGUGUAUAAAAAACGUUGCUUACACUACCUUUUUUUUCCUUUUUGUACUGGUUGCCAGACAUUGACGACGCGGAGCAACACAGCGUGGUAUUGGAGAGCCCAAGAGAGCCCCCCACCACCCUGUGUGGGACGAAGCCAAGCAGCCCACCCACCCCUGCAUAUCCAGGUGUCAAAUGCCGAACCACUUGCGGUGGUGGUGACAGGGUCGAGCACCUACGACGUGGGAAAGUCAGAGCGGGUGUAUCGCUACUGAUGUCGGCGGUCAGGUCGUGGAUGACGUGGCGUCGGGGCAACCUGCAACACUAAACACGCUUGUGCCACCUACAUGAUAGCCAAAGUGCCGGCAGGAUUUGAACAUAUAUCUCACCCCCGGCCCUCACACCACUCACUGGUGAGCAGGGAGGCUUGGGCCGCCGCGCGGGGAAUGCAUCGGGUGGUGGCCGGCAUGAUGGGACGGGCCGGCUGCGAGGUGGGUGAGCAGAGGUGGAGUCAGGGGCCGUUCACAGAUGACUGCGCCAGUGCAUUGUGCUGUAACACGCGUGUCUACGGCUGCUUCGCAUCAUGCGAUGGGCCCGCGACAGAGCCGGGUAGAGUUGGAUUAAAUUUCGUC
RNAcentral lists this unclassified non-coding RNA (1900 nucleotides) under Leishmania donovani. Its description in RNAcentral is "gene:LdHU3.36.6820(CDS-product:Sugar_efflux_trans porter_for_intercellular_exchange_putative)". Lineage: Eukaryota; Euglenozoa; Kinetoplastea; Trypanosomatida; Trypanosomatidae. The record is from RNAcentral.